This 91-nucleotide transfer RNA is filed under the name Sphagnurus paluster. RNAcentral describes it as "Tephrocybe palustris tRNA". It matches the Rfam family "tRNA". Rfam says of the family: Transfer RNA (tRNA) molecules are approximately 80 nucleotides in length. Their secondary structure includes four short double-helical elements and three loops (D, anti-codon, and T loops). Lineage: Eukaryota; Fungi; Basidiomycota; Agaricomycetes; Agaricales; Lyophyllaceae. The record is from Rfam by way of RNAcentral.
GGCACUAUAGCCAAGUGGUUACGGCGACAGAUUCGAACCGCUCGCUAUCUGUUCCUCUCUGAGGGCGCAGGUUCAAAUCCUGCUGGUGUCG